Molecule: transfer RNA, 73 nt
Filed under: Bos taurus (domestic cattle)
Lineage: Eukaryota; Metazoa; Chordata; Mammalia; Artiodactyla; Bovidae
Also listed under: 5 other names
Rfam family: tRNA
About the family: Transfer RNA (tRNA) molecules are approximately 80 nucleotides in length. Their secondary structure includes four short double-helical elements and three loops (D, anti-codon, and T loops). Further hydrogen bonds mediate the characteristic L-shaped molecular structure. tRNAs have two regions of fundamental functional importance: the anti-codon, which is responsible for specific mRNA codon recognition, and the 3' end, to which the tRNAs corresponding amino acid is attached (by aminoacyl-tRNA synthetases). tRNAs cope with the degeneracy of the genetic code in two manners: having more than one tRNA (with a specific anti-codon) for a particular amino acid; and 'wobble' base-pairing, i.e. permitting non-standard base-pairing at the 3rd anti-codon position.
Source: Rfam by way of RNAcentral
UCCCUGGUGGCCCAGCAGUUGAGACUCUGCAUUUCCAAUGCAGAGGGUGCAGGUUCAAUCCCUGGCUGGGGAA